RNAcentral lists this ribosomal RNA (253 nucleotides) under uncultured bacterium. Its description in RNAcentral is "partial 16S ribosomal RNA". It matches the Rfam family "Bacterial small subunit ribosomal RNA", at positions 524 to 776 of the family's 1533-position model. The record is from RNAcentral.
UACGGAGGGUGCAAGCGUUGUUCGGAAUUAUUGGGCGUAAAGAGCUCGUAGGCGGUUUGUCGCGUCUGCUGUGAAAACCUAAGGCUCAACCUUGGGCUUGCAGUGGGUACGGGCAGACUAGAGUGCGGUAGGGGUGACUGGAAUUCCUGGUGUAGCGGUGGAAUGCGCAGAUAUCAGGAGGAACACCGAUGGCGAAGGCAGGUCACUGGGCCGCAACUGACGCUGAGGAGCGAAAGCAUGGGGAGCGAACAGG